UGAGGCCAGGACCCCCAGCAGGCCAGCCUCAGAGACACACCCUUCUAGGAGACAUCCUUCCCAAGAUAAGUAAAACUGUGGUUCAAAGAGGCCCUGGGACCACCUGCGAAGAUCCUGGGAUUCAUCAGGGGUCUGAACCUUGGAUCACACCUGCUCCGGCUAUUCUGAUGUCAUCUCCAUCUCCUGGAGACAGUUGCUGCAUGAGAACAAAGGCAGGGCCCAGACGAGGUCUGGAGGGAUAAGCGGCAGGGAUCUGGGCACUGAGCUGAGGCACUGGGCAGGCAGAGCCAUUGCCCUCGCCCCUACCAUGAACCCCUACAGAGAUGCUGCUAGAACCUUGCUUUCUAAGGGGUAGGAGGGUCUGGCUGCCUCUGCCUCUACUCACCCCAUAGACACACAGGCCUUCUCUCCAUCCAGGGAGAACAUAGCUGCCAAGAGCAGUCCUGCCCCCACACCAGGCUCCCCAGCAGUGAGGAGCUGGGCUGGGCUGUCCUCACCCGCCCUCUUGGCCUCACCCUGGCCCUUCCCUGGCCCUGCCUCGGGAUGCCAGGACCCAUAGCAGGUGCCUGGACAGGCUUGGGGAUGGAAAGGGGGCUGGGCACAGAAGGCCAGCUUCUGGCCAAGAACAGAACUCAUAGAGAAACAAGUUCCAGAAUCCUCUUCAUCCUCCUUUUCCCCACCCACUCUUUAGUUUUGUUAAUAAAUACAGCUACCAUAUACUAAGCACUUAUUGUCUUCCUUUGCA
This 745-nucleotide long non-coding RNA is filed under the name Homo sapiens (human). RNAcentral's name for it is "HSALNT0172645". The record is from RNAcentral. Lineage: Eukaryota; Metazoa; Chordata; Mammalia; Primates; Hominidae.